Molecule: small nuclear RNA, 191 nt
Organism: Cynocephalus volans (Philippine flying lemur)
Lineage: Eukaryota; Metazoa; Chordata; Mammalia; Dermoptera; Cynocephalidae
Product: U2 spliceosomal RNA
Exons: 1
Source: RefSeq, a predicted model, not a curated record
AUCACUUCUCAGCCUUUUGGCUAAGAUCAAGUAUAUUAUCUGUUCUUAUCAGCUAAAUAUUUAAUACAUCCUCUAUCAGAAGACAAUAUAUUAAAUAAAUUAUCAGAGCAGGAAGAUGGAAUGAGAGCUUGCUGCAUCCACUCCACACACCAGCCUGGCAUUGUAGUAACUCUAGGAACAGUGCAGCAAUU